AUUGAACGCUGGCGGCAGGCCUAACACAUGCAAGUCGAACGAGUGGCGGACGGGUGAGUAAUGUCUGGGAAACUGCCUGAAGGAGGGGGCUAACUACUGGAAACGGUAGCUAAUACCGCAUACCAUCAGAUGUGCCCAGAUGGGAUUAGCGAGUUGGUGGGGUAAAGGCUCACCAAGGCGACGAUCCCUAGCUGGUCUGAGAGGUUGACAGGCAACACUGGAACUGAGACACGGUCCAGACUCCUACGGGAGGAGGCAUAGGGGAAUAUUGCACAAUGGGCGCAAGCCUGAUGCAGCCAUGCCGCGUGUAUGAAGAAGGCCGUCGGGUUGUAAAGUACUUUCAGCGGGGAGGCGUUACCCGCAGAAGAAGCACCGGCUAACUCCGUGCCAGCAGCCGCGGUAAUAC
Molecule: ribosomal RNA, 406 nt
Filed under: uncultured bacterium
Lineage: Bacteria
Description: partial 16S ribosomal RNA
Rfam family: Bacterial small subunit ribosomal RNA
Source: RNAcentral